Molecule: long non-coding RNA, 1113 nt
Filed under: Cairina moschata (Muscovy duck)
Lineage: Eukaryota; Metazoa; Chordata; Aves; Anseriformes; Anatidae
Description: domestica (muscovy Duck (domestic type)) lncRNA (ENSCMMG00000013638.1)
Source: RNAcentral
UGGGCAGCACAGCUCACUGCUUGAGCAGCACACUUGAUCUCAGCUCACCCAAGGAGCCGGAAUAAAGGCCAGCUGGCUCCUGCAGCCCAGGAAGGACCAAGCGGUGGUAGCAAGAGGAGGGAUAUACUUCAAAGCUUUGGCAAACGCGGCUGCUUCGCCCUCCAGGGAGGUGCUUGCCCUCGACUAGUUAAGACAGCACUGCCUUAUUGUCAGGAGGGACUAAUUGCUGCCCUUUGAUACCACAUCACUGCCAGUGCUGCAGCACGAUUAGCUUUGCCGAGCUCUAAGAUUUUAUUUGUUCCUCUCAAACAAUCUUGUCACCUCCGCACCGGCUCCGAGCUCUCCCCUGGGCCAGGGCAGCUGGUGGAAGUGGGACGAGCUCCCGUCCGUCACCGGUCCGCAGGGAGGCUUCAGAGGCCCCCAGGUGCAGUAGUUCUGUGUCUGCUGCGAGGGACAAAUGCAGGAGCUGGAGCAAGCCCCUGUAAGGAGGCACGCUGCUCCAAACGCCUUCUGAAAUGGGGAUCUGCCUGAUACAUGUUAAGACAUCAUUAAACCAGAACACAGCAUGGCUGUAGAAUCAGAGUCGAUCCCUGCGGUGGGAGCAGUGGUGCUGCGGGCGCGGGGGCACUCCCCUCACUUUCCUAAGUCCCAUCAGUUUUUCACCUUAGCCAGGUGCUCAGCUCCGUGCUGGGGCAGUUUGGUGCUGCCUCCAAGCGCGAUGCCUCCUGCCGGACUCGGUGCUGUCGGGCACUGCCCUGCCCCAGAAGAACACGGGACUGCCCCUCACAGCACAAUUACUGAGAGGAUAAAAUCUUAUCUGGACAACUCCAGGUGCUGGACAGAAGAGCCCGGGAUGAAGGACGGGGGCUCACCAGCUGCUGUUUCUCUUCCCGAGUGAUGGAUCUCUUCCUAAUGAGCAGGAUCCUGAUUAACUCAUUGCCUCUCACAGCACCUCACCCUGGUCUGACUCCAGGAGUGGUGGCGGAGCCUUGCGAGCGCCCGGCUCCCUCCCGCAGCCAGCGCUGCUGCACCGGUGCUGGCUCUGCCCAAUGAUGUCAUAGCAGAGGGAAGGGAAAAAAGGCGACUGCGAGGCUCCUGAGCAAGUAAACCUCC